CCCUAAGGCGAGGCCGAAAGGCGUAGUCGAUGGGAAACAGGUUAAUAUUCCUGUACUUGGUGUUACUGCGAAGGGGGGACGGAGAAGGCUAUGUUGGCCGGGCGACGGUUGUCCCGGUUUAAGCGUGUAGGCUGGUUUUCCAGGCAAAUCCGGAAAAUCAAGGCUGAGGCGUGAUGACGAGGCACUACGGUGCUGAAGCAACAAAUGCCCUGCUUCCAGGAAAAGCCUCUAAGCAUCAGGUAACAUCAAAUCGUACCCCAAACCGACACAGGUGGUCAGGUAGAGAAUACCAAGGCGCUUGAGAGAACUCGGGUGAAGGAACUAGGCAAAAUGGUGCCGUAACUUCGGGAGAAGGCACGCUGAUAUGUAGGUGAAGUCCCUCGCGGAUGGAGCUGAAAUCAGUCGAAGAUACCAGCUGGCUGCAACUGUUUAUUAAAAACACAGCACUGUGCAAACACGAAAGUGGACGUAUACGGUGUGACGCCUGCCCGGUGCCGGAAGGUUAAUUGAUGGGGUUAGCCGCAAGGCGAAGCUCUUGAUCGAAGCCCCGGUAAACGGCGGCCGUAACUAUAACGGUCCUAAGGUAGCGAAAUUCCUUGUCGGGUAAGUUCCGACCUGCACGAAUGGCGUAAUGAUGGCCAGGCUGUCUCCACCCGAGACUCAGUGAAAUUGAACUCGCUGUGAAGAUGCAGUGUACCCGCGGCAAGACGGAAAGACCCCGUGAACCUUUACUAUAGCUUGACACUGAACAUUGAGCCUUGAUGUGUAGGAUAGGUGGGAGGCUUAGAAGUGUGGACGCCAGUCUGCAUGGAGCCGACCUUGAAAUACCACCCUUUAAUGUUUGAUGUUCUAACGUUGACCCGUAAUCCGGGUUGCGGACAGUGUCUGGUGGGUAGUUUGACUGGGGCGGUCUCCUCCUAAAGAGUAACGGAGGAGCACGAAGGUUGGCUAAUCCUGGUCGGACAUCAGGAGGUUAGUGCAAUGGCAUAAGCCAGCUUGACUGCGAGCGUGACGGCGCGAGCAGGUGCGAAAGCAGGUCAUAGUGAUCCGGUGGUUCUGAAUGGAAGGGCCAUCGCUCAACGGAUAAAAGGUACUCCGGGGAUAACAGGCUGAUACCGCCCAAGAGUUCAUAUCGACGGCGGUGUUUGGCACCUCGAUGUCGGCUCAUCACAUCCUGGGGCUGAAGUAGGUCCCAAGGGUAUGGCUGUUCGCCAUUUAAAGUGGUACGCGAGCUGGGUUUAGAACGUCGUGAGACAGUUCGGUCCCUAUCUGCCGUGGGCGCUGGAGAACUGAGGGGGGCUGCUCCUAGUACGAGAGGACCGGAGUGGACGCAUCACUGGUGUUCGGGUUGUCAUGCCAAUGGCACUGCCCGGUAGCUAAAUGCGGAAGAGAUAAGUGCUGAAAGCAUCUAAGCACGAAACUUGCCCCGAGAUGAGUUCUCCCUGAC
This 1447-nucleotide ribosomal RNA is filed under the name Escherichia coli. Its description in RNAcentral is "bacterial LSU rRNA". It matches the Rfam family "Bacterial large subunit ribosomal RNA", at positions 1389 to 2819 of the family's 2925-position model. Lineage: Bacteria; Pseudomonadati; Pseudomonadota; Gammaproteobacteria; Enterobacterales; Enterobacteriaceae. The record is from RNAcentral.